RNAcentral lists this non-coding RNA (65 nucleotides) under Vibrio nigripulchritudo. Lineage: Bacteria; Pseudomonadati; Pseudomonadota; Gammaproteobacteria; Vibrionales; Vibrionaceae. The record is from RNAcentral.
UUUGACACGACAUUGCUCACAUUGCUUCCAGUGUAAUUUAUAGCUUUUGGCAAGGUUGAAAAUUU